GCAAAGUUUGGGAUCCACAGUCUACAAAACCCCACAUCCCCUGAGAAUUCUCUCGCCUGCCUUAGGCACUUAGGCUCCGGGAGAUUGCAAAUAACCUGCUUUCUUUCUGUUCCCGGGCUGCGUUCGGACUCCUGUCAGAUAGUAAAUCCUAAGUGGCGUCGGACCCCUGUCAGAGAGUAAAUCUCAAGUAAGGUACCUGCCAUCGGCAGAUUUGAGCUUUCUUCUUGGACACCUAAUACCCACAGUCCUCCAGGCUCCGGUAGACUGCAAAUGACCUGCUUUCUUUCUGUUCCCGGGCUGCGUUUGGACCCCUGUCGGAUAGUAAAUCCCAAGCUCCGGUAGACUGCAAAUGACCUGCUUUCUUUCUGUUCCCGGGCUGCGUUUGGACCCCUGUCGGACAGUAAAUCCCAAGAAUGGAACAGAUAAGAAGAUACUGAAAUUGGACGGUGCUGCCGUGCGGCUGCCGCAGGACACCUUUAAUAUCCCUGUUUCUCAGGCUGUAGAUGAAGGGGUUCAGCAUGGAGGUGAUCACCGUGUACAUCACUGAGGCCACUGCAGCCUUUCUCGGGGAAGAUGACACAUCUGAACUGAGGUACCCUCCAAAGCCUGUUCCGUAAAAUCAGCAAACAACUGACAGGAUAACUUCAGGAAGUGGGUAUUAAUUCUCACGGUAUAAGUGAAGACAUUAAGCACCAGAGUUUAAGUAGCUUGAUCCACUGAAAGAGAUUCAACUGUGUGGAACCUAUGCCGUGGAGAAUUGCUUUCUGCCAUUGUUAUCGUCCAGCAGUUGCCGAAUAGCUCUGACCUGAGCAAAGCAGUGAAACGCGGUGCUGUUGAGUGGGUUGCCACUGCACCUUUUUCAACUACUCUAGUCUUGUGGAGAAAAUACCCCUUCUAAAUUUUUUCUUCAUUGAAUACUCUCCCUCAGCUCCAGAGUACCAUAUAGAGUUUUCUUGUAUUUUAGAGUUACUGUUUUAUCAAAGUUUACCAGUCUUUUGUAUUACAUUUCUCCUGUCUAAAUCGACUGUGUGGUUUCUACUCAUUAUGGAUAUAGAUUGAUACAAACUCAAUAAAUAUUUUUGAAUGAAUAA
Molecule: long non-coding RNA, 1091 nt
Filed under: Homo sapiens (human)
Lineage: Eukaryota; Metazoa; Chordata; Mammalia; Primates; Hominidae
Description: HSALNT0373192
Source: RNAcentral